CAGAUGAAUCCAACAACUUGAUAAUCGGAGACGUGUCGUCCCAUUAGCAGUAUCUAUAAAGCCGGAGGGGCACACAGCCAGCUCUCUGGGCUUGGUUGUGCGGUUGCCACAGCGACAAAACCGCUGCUUUCUCUGUUUCUCAUUCAUGGGGGAAGAGGAAUUCUCAAGAUGAUGGGUCUUCUAUAAAACUGACACUGCAACUCUUUGCUUUUCUAUUCACACUUUACUCUCCUGUGCUUAGAUCCAAGGAGGACUUUUCAUUGCGAAUAUUCAGACAAAUAAAGCCAAACUCUCCUAUGAGUCACCGUCAGGCUCUCUCCAGCCCGCACGGAGCAAUGGGCGUCACUUGUGACCACUAGCACAGGAGCAGUACCAAUGAGGGCAAGAGAAGUCUCUAUCGUGAGAGGCAGAGGUAUGGGCUGGGACAGCCUGCUGCUAACCCUAAGACUGACUGCUGUUGGACAUACAGUCCAACUCCAAGGAGGCAACACACAGUAUUGUUUCCUGAGAUUGGAUGUGGAGACAUUCUCCUGGGGCCCUGAGUGCUGUAUUCAGAAAGCAAGAAUCAUUGAUGUUUGCAGUGCAUCCAAGCCUCCGCUGAAUAUCUGAAUCGUGAUUAUUGAGAGCAUCCCGUAUGAGCCCCAGUACAGCUUGCUUCUGGGCGGCAAGAAGGAGGCCUAGUUGACUCCUGAGGAGAAAGACUUUAAAUAACAAGUCAGAGAAAAUGCAAAAGAAAUACAAUGAAAGAAAAAAGAACACCCAAAUCAGCUGCCUUCUAGAGGAGCUGUUCCAGCUGGGCAAGCUUCUUGCCUAUAUUGCUCAAGACUGGGCCAGUGUAGCAUUGCCUAGGGCUAUGUGCUAGAGGGUAAAGAGUGGGCGAUCAUCUGAGAAAGAUUAACGCCCAGAGAAGCAAAUCAGUCAUCGUCCACAGCUCAUAUAAUAGAGGUGCUUUUUGUUCUGGGUUUUGUUUGUUUAUAAGGGGUCACCCUCUUUUUGGACACCUGGAUGAUUUGGGGGGCUUGAAGAAUGUACUUUAUUCUACUUGAGGCUGUUCGGUUUCCUGAUAAGAAUUUGUUGCUUAUUUGGAUAGAAUGAGGGUGUAACAAAAUUUCACACUAUAGCCCGGGCUGGCCUCAGCCUCCCACAUGCUGUGAUUACAGACAGGUACCACCAUAUACAGCAUAUUGUAUGUGUCUAUAACAUUAUUUAUUAUGUAAACUUGUUUUAAAAAAAAUUGAAACUUGUGUUUGGAUCAUA
Molecule: long non-coding RNA, 1257 nt
Organism: Mus musculus (house mouse)
Lineage: Eukaryota; Metazoa; Chordata; Mammalia; Rodentia; Muridae
Product: predicted gene 13491
Exons: 2
Source: RefSeq, a predicted model, not a curated record